This 125-nucleotide small RNA is filed under the name Klebsiella pneumoniae. Its description in RNAcentral is "RtT sRNA". It matches the Rfam family "RtT RNA". From Rfam's summary of the family: This family represents a bacterial cis-regulatory element known as RtT RNA. The record is from RNAcentral. RNAcentral also lists the same sequence under 1 other name. Lineage: Bacteria; Pseudomonadati; Pseudomonadota; Gammaproteobacteria; Enterobacterales; Enterobacteriaceae.
UAUUCUGCCCUACAGGGAAGGAUGAGAAGCUUCGACUAAGGUUCGACUCGAGCGAAGCGAGAGAACGUUGCCGCAGGCAACGGCCCGAAGGGCGAGGCGCUUUAGCGCCGAGUAAUCCUUCCCCC